GAGUUUGAUCCUGGCUCAGAACGAACGCUGGCGGCAUGCCUAACACAUGCAAGUCGAACGGGAUCCGGACUUCGGUUCGGUGAGAGUGGCGGACGGGUGAGUAACGCGUGGGAACCUGCCCAGUGGUGGGGGAUAACUGCGGGAAACUGCAGCUAAUACCGCAUGAGCCCGAGAGGGGAAAGAUUUAUCGCCAUUGGAGGGGCCCGCGUUCGAUUAGGUAGUUGGUGAGGUAAUGGCUCACCAAGCCGACGAUCGAUAGCUGGUCUGAGAGGAUGAUCAGCCACACUGGGACUGAGAUACGGCCCAGACUCCUACGGGAGGCAGCAGUGGGGAAUAUUGGACAAUGGGGGCAACCCUGAUCCAGCAAUGCCGCGUGAGUGAUGAAGGCCUUCGGUUGU
RNAcentral lists this ribosomal RNA (398 nucleotides) under uncultured Alphaproteobacteria bacterium. Its description in RNAcentral is "bacterial SSU rRNA". It matches the Rfam family "Bacterial small subunit ribosomal RNA", at positions 9 to 426 of the family's 1533-position model. The record is from RNAcentral. Lineage: Bacteria; Pseudomonadati; Pseudomonadota; Alphaproteobacteria.